This 440-nucleotide ribosomal RNA is filed under the name uncultured bacterium. Its description in RNAcentral is "partial 16S ribosomal RNA". It matches the Rfam family "Bacterial small subunit ribosomal RNA", at positions 338 to 795 of the family's 1533-position model. The record is from RNAcentral.
CCUACGGGUGGCAGCAGUAGGGAAUAUUGCUCAAUGGGGGAAACCCUGAAGCAGCAACGCCGCGUGGAGGAUGAAGGUUUUCGGAUUGUAAACUCCUUUUGUUAGAGAAGAUAAUGACGGUAUCUAACGAAUAAGCCCCGGCUAACUCCGUGCCAGCAGCCGCGGUAAUACGGAGGGUGCAAGCGUUACUCGGAAUCACUGGGCGUAAAGAGCGCGUAGGCGGGAUAGCAAGUCAGAUGUGAAAUCCUAGGGCUUAACCAUAGAACUGCAUUUGAAACUGUUAUUCUAGAGUAUGGGAGAGGUAGGUGGAAUUCUUGGUGUAGGGGUAAAAUCCGUAGAGAUCAAGAGGAAUACUCAUUGCGAAGGCGACCUGCUAGAACAUAACUGACGCUGAUGCGCGAAAGCGUGGUGAGCAAACAGGAUUAGAUACCCCAGUAGUC